ACUCAGAGGAAGGACCAUCUGCUUCUGGCAUCCAGUCAUGACGACGUCGAUGACUGGAUGUCAGGAGCAGAUGAUGUUGAUGACUAACGUGUGGGAAGCGUAGACAGCGUCAGGACGCGGGACAAAGGGAGGAUUCACAUCCCCGGUGGGGACAGAGCUGAACAAUGUGAAAUUUCACCAGGCUACUCAGAACGGCGUGCAAUUUAAAACUUAAGAAUUGUUGAUUUCUGGAAUUUUCCAUUUAAUAUUUUUGGACUGCAGUUGGCUGUGGGUAACUAAUACAUCAGAAAGUGAAACCAAGACGAGGAGAAAGCUCUCCAAAUCUACUGAAACUCUCUUCCCCUCUCAUCUGUGACCUGAGGUGCUCUCUGGAUGUUUCAGCAAAGUGAUAGAGUAUUCCCUGACUGCCAUGGCAGCUGUUCUUUUGCUGUCAGGCCUGUGUCAAAAUAACGGAAUCACUUAAAAUAAAAAAAUUGCUGCUCAAAAUAA
Molecule: non-coding RNA, 489 nt
Organism: Macaca mulatta (Rhesus monkey)
Lineage: Eukaryota; Metazoa; Chordata; Mammalia; Primates; Cercopithecidae
Source: RefSeq, a predicted model, not a curated record